RNAcentral lists this unclassified non-coding RNA (19 nucleotides) under Dictyostelium discoideum. The record is from RNAcentral. Lineage: Eukaryota; Evosea; Eumycetozoa; Dictyosteliales; Dictyosteliaceae.
CGAGAGGUGAAAUUCGUUG